RNAcentral lists this ribosomal RNA (274 nucleotides) under uncultured bacterium. Its description in RNAcentral is "partial 16S ribosomal RNA". It matches the Rfam family "Bacterial small subunit ribosomal RNA", at positions 523 to 796 of the family's 1533-position model. The record is from RNAcentral.
CUACGGAGGGUGCGAGCGUUGUUCGGAAUUACUGGGCGUAAAGGGCGCGCAGGCGGCUUGAUAAGUCAGAUGUGAAAGCCCACGGCUCAACCGUGGAAGUGCGUCUGAAACUGUCUGGCUUGAGUACUGGAGAGGAAAGUGGAAUUCCUGGUGUAGAGGUGAAAUUCGUAGAUAUCAGGAGGAACACCGGUGGCGAAGGCGACUUUCUGGACAGAUACUGACGCUGAGGCGCGAAAGCGUGGGGAGCAAACAGGAUUAGAAACCCUUGUAGUCC